RNAcentral lists this ribosomal RNA (490 nucleotides) under uncultured bacterium. Its description in RNAcentral is "partial 16S ribosomal RNA". It matches the Rfam family "Bacterial small subunit ribosomal RNA", at positions 30 to 507 of the family's 1533-position model. The record is from RNAcentral.
AUUGAACGCUGGCGGCAGGCCUAACACAUGCAAGUCGAACGGUAACAGGAAACAGCUUGCUGUUUCGCUGACGAGUGGCGGACGGGUGAGUAAUGUCUGGGAAACUGCCUGAUGGAGGGGGAUAACUACUGGAAACGGUAGCUAAUACCGCAUAACGUCGCAAGACCAAAGAGGGGGACCUUCGGGCCUCUUGCCAUCAGAUGUGCCCAGAUGGGAUUAGCUAGUAGGUGGGGUAACGGCUCACCUAGGCGACGAUCCCUAGCUGGUCUGAGAGGAUGACCAGCCACACUGGAACUGAGACACUGUCCAGACUCCUACGGGAGGCAGCAGUGGGGAAUAUUGCACAAUGGGCGCAAGCCUGAUGCAGCCAUGCCGCGUGUAUGAAGAAGGCCUUCGGGUUGUAAAGUACUUUCAGCGGGGAGGAAGGGAGUAAAGUUAAUACCUUUGCCCAUUGACGUUACCCGCAGAAGAAGCACCGGCUAACUCCGUG